UAGUACUCAUCUGUGCUCACUUCUGCCCUAUCAAACAGCAUCAGAAUGUAAAAGACUAUGAAGGUAAACAGAGAAGAUGGGGUUACAAAGAACACUGCAGUGAUUGGUUAAAGAGACCCAGCACAGCACAGCAGACUAAGGGAGGAAGUGAAUAUGCAUGACAUUGGCAUUUCUUCAAAUGUCAUUAAAAUGGAGAAAUAAGCGCAAGACGUAAAAGAAAAGGGAUCAUUCUACAUGAAAAGCACGUUGUAUGGAAAAUGGAGACAAGUACAGUACAUGCAUCAGAUUCCUUUUCCCCUUUAAAUUAAACCAGCCAAGUGACAGCGCACUCAAAUCUUAAAGUGACAGCACACUCAAGUCUUCUUAAAGUGACUCAAAGAGAUUGACAACAUAUCAGCACCCAACUCUCCAGAUCAACCUGGCGAAAGUGCCCCUCCAUCACCAGCAGCGGGAACAUCUGCUACACCAGAGGUACCACUGCUCACAAGACAACUACAAGGACCAGCACUUGAGGAAGUCCGCACCUGGCCCGCCUCCAUGAAGGCUACGGUAGAACCGAUCUUCGAAGGGUUAUAUCAGGUAUUUGAGUCACAUUUUCUG
This is a long non-coding RNA of Hyla sarda, 600 nucleotides long. RefSeq lists it as uncharacterized. NCBI's taxonomy places the organism in Eukaryota, Metazoa, Chordata, Amphibia, Anura, Hylidae. The record is from RefSeq and is a predicted model, not a curated record. The transcript has 4 exons.